RNAcentral lists this ribosomal RNA (336 nucleotides) under Triticum aestivum (bread wheat). RNAcentral's name for it is "partial small subunit ribosomal RNA". The record is from RNAcentral. Lineage: Eukaryota; Viridiplantae; Streptophyta; Magnoliopsida; Poales; Poaceae.
AUGUCGAGGUCACGGAACAGCUGCGCGACGAAGAAGAACAUAUUGGCAACUGGCAAGAUUCCGCAUGUUCCACCUCGACUCGCCUUCCCAUCCUUCAGUCCUCAUCCUCUCAUAUUCCUCUCACCUUCCACCGGCACAGAGCAGCGGGGCAGGAAGGCGCGUGGGGAGGGCUGCCUGGAGGCUAAGGAGAAAGGGGGCAAUCGAGGAAGAGAGGAGUGCGCCACCGCCCAGAACGAGCGAGGGGAGGGAAGGGGCCGCGCGCCGAUUCGAGUUUCUUUAGCGGCAGGGCUGCGUCGGGGUCAUUUGGAAAGAGGUCUCGUGGAGGGGAUGAGGUGA